CCAAUAGCGUAUAUUGGAGUUGUUGCAGUUAAAAAGCUCGUAGUUGAAUUUCGGGGUUAGGAGGUUGGUCAUGCCACUGGUAUGUACUGGCCUCACUGAUUCCUCCUUCCUGAUGAGCCGUAAUGCCAUUAAUUUGGUGUUGCGAGGAAUCUGGACUGUUACUUUGAACAAAUUAGAGUGUUUAAAGCAGGCUAACGCUUGAAUACAUUAGCAUGGAAUAAUGAAAUAGGACGUUCGAUCUUAUUUUGUUGGUUUCUAAGAUUGACGUAAUGAUUAAUAGGGAUAGUUGGGGGCAUUAGUAUUCAAUUGUCAGAGGUGAAAUUCUUGGAUUUAUUGAAGACUAACUACUGCGAAAGCAUUUGCCAAGGAUGUUUUCAUUAAUCAAGAACGAAAGUUAGGGGAUCGAAGACGAUCAGAUACCGUCGUAGUCUUAACCAUAAACUAUGCCGACUAGGGAUCGGAUGAUGUUAAUUUUUUAAUGACUCAUUCGGCGCCUUACG
Molecule: ribosomal RNA, 500 nt
Filed under: uncultured Glomeromycotina
Lineage: Eukaryota; Fungi; Glomeromycota
Description: partial small subunit ribosomal RNA
Rfam family: Eukaryotic small subunit ribosomal RNA
Source: RNAcentral